This 22-nucleotide unclassified non-coding RNA is filed under the name Mus musculus (house mouse). Its description in RNAcentral is "oocyte_clustered_small_RNA14305". The record is from RNAcentral. Lineage: Eukaryota; Metazoa; Chordata; Mammalia; Rodentia; Muridae.
UUGGGGUCGCGGUUGCUGUCUC